GUUGUUAGAAGAAAUCUCUUGUUUUUUCCCACUUUACAGGGUUAAUCCUGUAAGGAAUUACAGUGUUCUGGUGUUGUUUCUAGCCUAAUCUUUAUUGCCCUGCUUAGAGAAACUUCCUUUCUAUUAACCUUUAUUACAUUCUUCGCAAGACUUAUUGUCUGAGCUUCUCAGGAGUUUUUAUGUUCUUUGCUGGUACUUUCUUUUUCUUUGCUUGACUUUCUUAAAGGGGAAGGAUUGUUUUAAGCUGUUUACAAUGCUGUUGGGAGGAAAUACUCCCCUGUUGGAGUUGUUCCAGCCGGGAUGCAAUGAUCAGCACUUUGAAGAAAUAAUUGAAUAAGGAAGAGCUGAUGGAAAGAAGCUUUUAAUGGCAAGGAACCAACAUGAGUGCCAUUCAGCAAGGCUUCUUGGCUAACUAGGAAGAUUGACAUUCAAAGUUCUACUUCUGAGAUAUCUUCCAGUAAAAUGAAUCAGGACGGAACUUAAAUAGUCAAUUUCUCACUUACACUUCCAAUGACAGAUCAAAAAUGAAACUUAAACUUUGUCUAAAUUCAUCACCUUUUGCCUAAUGUGGAUUUACUUGGUCUGUUGUGUGGAUGUUUGGGUGGUUUAGGGGUGGAGAAUUGCGGUGGGUGGGAGUGUGUUUGGGGAUUGUUAUGUGUGUUGGACCUGGUCUUUGGGUGUUAAGUGAAUUUCGUUGUAUGGGUAUUAUGUGCAUACACGUACAAUGACAAUAAAGUUAUUAUUAUUA
Pantherophis guttatus is the source of this 748-nucleotide long non-coding RNA. RefSeq lists it as uncharacterized. NCBI's taxonomy places the organism in Eukaryota, Metazoa, Chordata, Lepidosauria, Squamata, Colubridae. The record is from RefSeq and is a predicted model, not a curated record.